This 253-nucleotide ribosomal RNA is filed under the name uncultured bacterium. RNAcentral describes it as "partial 16S ribosomal RNA". It matches the Rfam family "Bacterial small subunit ribosomal RNA", at positions 524 to 776 of the family's 1533-position model. The record is from RNAcentral.
UACAGAGGUGGCAAGCGUUGUUCGGAAUUACUGGGCGUAAAGGGCGCGUAGGCGGCCAUCUAAGUCAGACGUGAAAUCCCCCGGCUUAACCUGGGAACUGCGUCUGAUACUGGACGGCUUGAGUAUGGGAGAGGGAUGUAGAAUUCCAGGUGUAGCGGUGAAAUGCGUAGAUAUCUGGAGGAAUACCGGUGGCGAAGGCGGCAUCCUGGACCAUUACUGACGCUGAGGCGCGAAAGCUAGGGGAGCAAACAGG